RNAcentral lists this ribosomal RNA (464 nucleotides) under uncultured bacterium. RNAcentral describes it as "partial 16S ribosomal RNA". It matches the Rfam family "Bacterial small subunit ribosomal RNA", at positions 339 to 795 of the family's 1533-position model. The record is from RNAcentral.
CUACGGGGGGCUGCAGUGGGGAAUAUUGCACAAUGGGCGCAAGCCUGAUGCAGCCAUGCCGCGUGUAUGAAGAAGGCCUUCAGGUUGUAAAGUACUUUCAGCGGGGAGGAAGGGGGUAAAGUUAAUACCUUUGCUCAUUGACGUUACCCGCAGAAGAAGCACCGGCGAACUCCGUGCCAGCAGCCGCGGUAAUACGGAGGGUGCAAGCGUUAAUCGGAAUUACUGGGCGUAAAGCGCACGCAGGCGGUUUGUUAAGUCAGAUGUGAAAUCCCCGGGCUCAACCUGGGAACUGCAUCUGAUACUGGCAAGCUUGAGUCUCGUAGAGGGGGGUAGAAUUCCAGGUGUAGCGGUGAAAUGCGUAGAGAUCUGGAGGAAUACCGGUGGCGAAGGCGGCCCCCUGGACGAAGACUGACGCUCAGGUGCGAAAGCGUGGGGAGCAAACAGGAUUAGAUACCCUCGUAGUC